GGAAAAUAUCCAAGCUCGGGAUUUUAUCCUCUGGAAACUCCUCUCUCAAAAAUCAGAAAAUGGCAUCGACCAGUGCAGUGGCUGGCCGAGUCCCGAACCUAAACGGACUUAGUGACUGGAAAAAGCCUAACCUUUCAUCGUUUACUCUUGGCAACCUAAGCUUAAAUGCAAAUCCAGUUGGUAAGCCCCAUAAAUCUUUGUCUGGCAAUUGGAAAUCCAGACAUAGCAGUAGAUCUCUCUCUGUACAUGGUUUAUUUGGAGGAAAGAAGGACAAUAAUGAAAAGAGUGAUGAUGCACCAUCAAAGGCAGGAAUUCUUGGAAACAUGCAGAAUUUAUAUGAGACUGUGAAGAAGGCGCAGAUGGUUGUCCAAGUUGAAGCAGUUAGGGUUCAAAAAGAACUUGCUGCAGCAGAGUUUGAUGGUUACUGUGAAGGUGAGCUUAUUAAGGUAACUCUAUCUGGAAACCAACAGCCUGUACGUACUGAGAUCACUGAGGCUGCAAUGGAAUUAGGUCCAGAAGUGAGUACGCAUGUUUUACCGGAUAUUUUCCUUGAAAGUUAUUUGGUUAUAUUUUGUGAGAUAUUGUCAAAUAAUGAUUUCAUAAAAAAAAUCCAGUAUUUUAGUAUGUUCUUUUUGUCCUACUCACUUGGUAUGCUCUUCAACCACGUAUUGUUUAAAUUUCCCAUGAAUUGUUUAAGAGAGAAAUGAAUAAAUAAUGUGGUCCUAUAUGCAUGUUUUUAAAUCAAAGUUAGAGCAAUGCAUAGUUUCUGUCUGGCCUUAAAAGCAAGGAACAUUUGUUGUAAGAUAUGUGCUUAUCCAAUUAUCAUGUUCAAAUUAAUUUUCAGCGGACUACUUAAAUGUUUAAACUUGCAUAACAUGCAAGAUAUCAUCAAUGUGUAUAAGUUGCAUGUUUCUAGAACAAGAAUAUGUAAAUUCUUAAACUUUUAGUAUUUGUCCAUAGCCAAACAGUGGUUAUACUUGAUAGAAACUUUGAAGCAACAUUCUCAAAUUCUUAAAUGUUUAGGCAUGAGCAUGGUUUUUGCUGCCAGGCCUUCUGUUCUCCUUAAAUUACAGUUGCAGGCCAUAAAAACUUCUUGUCAGAAAAAAAGAACAUGAAAGGACAGUUUUAAACAGUCCAGUUGGUUCUGCUUUAGCGAGACAAAUUCAUGGAUGGACUGAUGAUUUGUAACAAGAAUUGGGAAGCUAUGCUAUUGGCCUUAUAUUUUGAGCGGUGUUUGUUUUUUCCAAUUUUGCAUGCGCACAAACCAAGAGCAUUCUCUUCUUAUAUGCAGAAGCUUUCACUUUUAGUUAAUGAGGCAUACAAGGACGCACACCAAAAAAGUGUCCAGGCCAUGAAAGAAAGGAUGAGUGAUCUUGCCCAAAGCUUAGGAAUGCCGCCAGGGGUCGGUGAGGGAUUAAAGUAAGGUGUAUUUCUCUUGUACUGAUCUCUAAGUGAGCUUUAAUUUUGCAAUUGAGCCAGUUACAAGUGCUCAUUGUAGUGUGACACGAAAUUUACUGUCUUGCUUAUCUUAGUGAUUGUUUAGAUUUAAUGAGUGAAAAUAUUUGGAACUUGUUAUCUUUGUUAUUAUUUCUAUAAGAAAACUGGUUGCUAAACUGAUAUUCUAAAAUGUUACCACAAUCGCAAAGGUGAUAAAUGAAGUAAAUUUGUGUAGCUUCAAUUGUCGUCGACAGUUAUAAUUUCCAAGAGUUAUCAGUUAGGAAGUCAGAGAAUUUUUCUUUGUCGCCAUGGAGUAUGAACUAUUAAAUGCAAAAUGGUUACCGAGAAUGGUAUCCCUGGAGAAGCGGAGAUAGAAAGACGUUUUCCAUUUUGUUUCUCUGGAAUACCUCAGACCUCUAUUGUUCUUGCAUUAGAGAUUCUACAGAAUACAGAUGGUAUGAAACAUCAAUUAUCUGGUUUUCUUGUCUUUAAUGAAUUAGAAUAAGAAAAAAAAAAAAAAAAAA
This 1961-nucleotide unclassified non-coding RNA is filed under the name Hevea brasiliensis (rubber tree). The record is from RNAcentral. Lineage: Eukaryota; Viridiplantae; Streptophyta; Magnoliopsida; Malpighiales; Euphorbiaceae.